Molecule: ribosomal RNA, 576 nt
Filed under: uncultured eukaryote
Lineage: Eukaryota
Description: SSU rRNA
Rfam family: Eukaryotic small subunit ribosomal RNA
Source: RNAcentral
UAAAAACCCCGACUUCGGARGGGGUGUAUUUAUUAGAUACAAAACCAAUGCCCUUCGGGGCUCUUUGGUGAUUCAUGAUAACUAUACGAAUCGCACGGCCUUGCSCCGGCGAUGGUUCAUUCAAAUUUCUUCCCUAUCAACUUUCGAUGUUUGGGUAUUGGCCAAACAUGGUUGCAACGGGUAACGGAGGGUUAGGGCUCGACCCCGGAGAAGGAGCCUGAGAAACGGCUACUACAUCCAAGGAAGGCAGCAGGCGCGCAAAUUACCCAAUCCCGACUCGGGGAGGUAGUGACAAUAAAUACUGAUACAGGGCCCUUUCGGGCCUUGUAAUUGGAAUGAGUACAAUUUAAAUCCCUUAACGAGGAACAAUUGGAGGGCAAGUCUGGUGCCAGCAGCCGCGGUAAUUCCAGCUCCAAUAGCGUAUAUUAAAGUUGUUGUGGUUAAAAAGCUCGUAGUUGAACCUUGGGCCUGGCUGGCCGGUCCGCCUCACCGCGUGCACUGGUCCGGCCGGGCCUUUCCCUCUGUGGAACCCCAUACCCUUCACUGGGCGUGGCGGGGAAACAGGACAUUUACUUU